AUUAUCUCAUUCAUGAGAUGGCUUUUGCAGGUAUUCAUGCGGCGAAUCCUGCUAAAGCACACGAAAUGGCUGCUUGUCAUCCAAGGGAUGAUGAACUUCCAUCCUUGUUAAGAGAGUGUGGUAGAGUGAAGGACUUGGAUCAAGGCCGGAGGCUCCACCGUUGGAUUUUCGCUCACAAAUGCCAUAGAUAUGACAGGUACCUGAGAAAUCUGGUUGUUCAGAUGUAUGGAAGCUGUGGGUGCUUGCAGGAGAUGGAAGCGGCUUUCUUGGAGAUCAGAGAGCCAAAUCUCUUCUCAUGGAACAUCCUGCUCACAGCCUAUGCCCAAAACGGGUAUCUCGAGGGCGCGGUAUCGACAUUUCAGAGAAUGCCAGAGUGCAACAUAUUGUCCUGGACGAACCUCUUGUCAACUUACGGUCGGGCUGGUCAAGUUGGAGCGGCAAAGCUGGUUUUUGACGUGAUCCCGGAGCUGGACGUGGCUGCUUGGAACGCGCUUUUGGAAGCUUACUCUCAAAACGGGCAGUUCGGCAAGGCAAAAGAGGUGUUUGACGAGAUGCCGCAUCGAAGCGUGGUCUCUUGGACUAUGAUGAUUCAAGCGAACUUUGAGCUGGGCCACGUCGAAGAGGCAGAGCUUCUUUUCGAGCGGAUACCGGAGAGGAACAUCGUCUGCUGGACGGCUAUGGUGGCGGGACUUAUCGAGAAUGACAGGAUGGAAGCAGCACAGGAGGCCCUGGAUCGGAUGCCCGAGUGGAACAUACUCUGCUGGAACGCACUGCUGGUGGGAUACUCUCAGAAAGGAUUAGCGGAAGAAGCCCAGGCUACACUCGAGAGAAUGCAGGUGUGGAACUGCGUCUCGUGGAACUCGCUCGUUUCAGUUCACGCUCAAAACGGAGAACUCGCCAGAGUGAAAGAAACUUUCGACAGGAUGCCCGAGCGGGACCUCGUCUCGUGGACAAGAAUGGUGCAAGCGUAUGCUGAGAACGGACACAUUGAGCACGCGAGGUGCCUGUUCGAUGCAAUGCCGGAGAGGAGCACGGUGUCGUGGAACACAAUGGUGGCGGCGUGCGCUCACAGCCAGCAUCUGGAAGAAGCAAAGAGGAUGUUCUUGGAGACACCCGAGAAGGACGUGGCGUCGUGGAACACAGCUCUCUCCAACACCGAAGCCAGGGACGAUCUGGAGAGCUUCUUCGAUCGGAUGCCGGUGAAGAACAUCGUCUCGUGGAACGCUCUCCUCGGCUCUCGGGUCUGCGUUGGAGAAUCCGGGAGGAAGAGUCGCAAGGCAGUGGAGGUGAUGGCGAGGAUGGGCCUAGAAGGCGAGAGGCCGAACGAGAUAUCAGUGCUCGGGCUCUUGGUGGCUUGCGUGCAUUUGGGAAUGCUGGACGAGGCUAGAAAGGUGGUGGCGGGCAUGAGAGACGACUAUGGAGUGGAUCCAAGGACGGGACACUUAUCGGCCGUGGUGGGAGUUCUCGCGAGGUGUGGAGACACGGCACAAGCACAGGUUUUUCUGGAAAGCUUACCACUUGGAGGCUUUGCGACGUGGGGUGCUCUCCUCAGUGCUUGCAGCACUCACGGCGAUGCUGGGAAUGGCAGAGAGGCAGCGAAGCGAAUGCUAGUUGAUCCGGGAAGGGGAAAGAAACCGGACGACUCCUCGCCGUAUGCUCUACUCGCCAACAUUCUUCUCGGGUAGAACAAAGUUCCUGUGGAAGAAAUCCCUAAAGUGGUGAGUUUGGUGAUGGAGGAGACAGGCGAGGGGUCCAUUCGCGAAGAUUCGAAGGAUACAAGCGAAGAGGCAUCGCCAUUUCCGGUUUUUCAGAAUGAGGAUGAUGAUCUUCCCCCGAAGGUGGGAUCUCCGGAGGAAGAACUCGUCGAUGGUGUGACGAA
RNA transcript from Selaginella moellendorffii, 1879 nucleotides. It is a transcript of the gene named peptidyl-prolyl cis-trans isomerase FKBP42, with no coding region annotated. The transcript is spliced from 2 exons. The record is from RefSeq and is a predicted model, not a curated record. NCBI's taxonomy places the organism in Eukaryota, Viridiplantae, Streptophyta, Lycopodiopsida, Selaginellales, Selaginellaceae.